GUUUAUAUAGCUUAUAUUAAAGCGUAGCAUUGAAGGUGCUAAUAAAAUAUUUUUUUUGUAAGCA
Molecule: transfer RNA, 64 nt
Filed under: Endeis sp. JZ-2022
Lineage: Eukaryota; Metazoa; Arthropoda; Pycnogonida; Pantopoda; Endeidae
Description: tRNA-Phe
Source: RNAcentral